Molecule: ribosomal RNA, 253 nt
Filed under: uncultured bacterium
Lineage: Bacteria
Also listed under: 1 other name
Description: partial 16S ribosomal RNA
Rfam family: Bacterial small subunit ribosomal RNA
Source: RNAcentral
UACGAGAGGUCCAAACGUUAUUCGGAAUCACUGGGCUUACAGAGUUCGUAGGCGGUCCGGAAAGUGGGGUGUGAAAGCCCUCGGCUCAACCGAGGAAUUGCGCUCCAAACUACCGGGCUAGAGGAAGAUAGAGGUGAGCGGAACUGAUGGUGGAGCGGUGAAAUGCGUUGAUAUCAUCAGGAACACCGGAGGCGAAGGCGGCUCACUGGGUCUUUUCUGACGCUGAGGAACGAAAGCUAGGGGAGCAAACGGG